UACGUAGGUGGCAAGCGUUGUCCGGAUUUAUUGGGCGUAAAGCGUGCGCAGGCGGUUCCUUAAGUCUGAUGUGAAAGCCCCCGGCUCAACCGGGGGAGGUCAUUGGAAACUGGGGAACUUGAGUGCAGAAGAGGAGAGUGGAAUUCCAUGUGUAGCGGUGAAAUGCGUAGAUAUAUGGAGGAACACCGGUGGCGAAGGCGGCUCUCUGGUCUGUAACUGACGCUGAGGCUCGAGAGCGUGGGGAGCGAACAGG
This 253-nucleotide ribosomal RNA is filed under the name uncultured bacterium. Its description in RNAcentral is "partial 16S ribosomal RNA". It matches the Rfam family "Bacterial small subunit ribosomal RNA", at positions 524 to 776 of the family's 1533-position model. The record is from RNAcentral.